This 254-nucleotide ribosomal RNA is filed under the name uncultured bacterium. RNAcentral describes it as "partial 16S ribosomal RNA". It matches the Rfam family "Bacterial small subunit ribosomal RNA", at positions 524 to 776 of the family's 1533-position model. The record is from RNAcentral.
CACGUAGGGGGCAAGCGUUGUCCGGAUUUAUUGGGCGUAAAGAGCUCGUAGGUGGUUCGGUAAGUCGGAUGUGAAAUCUCCAGGCUCAACCUGGAGGGGUCAUUCGAUACUGCCGUGACUAGAGUUCGGUAGGGGAGUGUGGAAUUCCUGGUGGAGCGGUGAAAUGCGCAGAUAUCAGGAGGAACACCCGUAGCGAAGGCGGCACUCUGGGCCGAUACUGACACUGAGGAGCGAAAGCGUGGGGAGCGAACAGG